GAUGAACGCUAGCUACAGGCUUAACACAUGCAAGUCGAGGGGCAGCAUGAAGUUUGCUUGCAAACUUUGAUGGCGACCGGCGCACGGGUGAGUAACGCGUAUCCAACCCUUCCCCCUAGGUAGGGGAUAGCCCGGCGAAAGUCGGAUUAAUACCCUAUGUUAUCCGUCGAUGACAUCAGAAGCGGAUCAAAGAUUUAUCGCUAGGGGAUGGGGAUGCGUCCGAUUAGGUAGUAGGCGGGGCAACGGCCCACCUAGCCUUCGAUCGGUAGGGGUUCUGAGAGGAAGGUCCCCCACAUUGGAACUGAGACACGGUCCAAACUCC
RNAcentral lists this ribosomal RNA (322 nucleotides) under uncultured Prevotella sp. RNAcentral describes it as "bacterial SSU rRNA". It matches the Rfam family "Bacterial small subunit ribosomal RNA", at positions 28 to 339 of the family's 1533-position model. The record is from RNAcentral. Lineage: Bacteria; Pseudomonadati; Bacteroidota; Bacteroidia; Bacteroidales; Prevotellaceae.